This 434-nucleotide ribosomal RNA is filed under the name uncultured bacterium. RNAcentral describes it as "partial 16S ribosomal RNA". It matches the Rfam family "Bacterial small subunit ribosomal RNA", at positions 29 to 507 of the family's 1533-position model. The record is from RNAcentral.
AGCGAACGCUGGCGGCAGGCCUAACACAUGCAAGUCGAACGAACCUUUCGGGGUUAGUGGCGGACGGGUGAGUCACACGUGGGAACGUGCCUUUAGGUUCGGAAUAACUCAGGGAAACUUGUGCUAAUACCGAAUGUGCCCUUCGGGGGAAAGAUUAAUCGCCUUUAGAGCGGCCCGCGUCUGAUUAGCUAGUUGGUUGAGGUAAUGGCUCACCAAGGCGACGAUCAGUAGCUGGUCUGAGAGGAUGAUCAGCCACAUUGGGACUGAGACACGGCCCAAACUCCUACGGGAGGCAGCAGUGGGGAAUCUUGCGAAAUGGGCGAAAGCAUGACGCAGCCAUGCCGCGUGAAUGAUGAAGGUCUUAGGAUUGUAAAAUUCUUUCAACGGGGACGAUAAUGACGGUACCCGGAGAAGAAGCCCCGGCUAACUUCGUG